CAGAGUUUAACAACUCCCAACCUAUGUGAACUUACCUUUGUUGCCUCGGUGGAGGGGCCCGACCUACCCUGUAGGAAGGGACCCCCUCUGCCGGUGGACCUAUAAACUCUUGUUAUUUAUUGACAUCUGAGCGUCUUAUUUUAAUAAGUCA
This 151-nucleotide unclassified non-coding RNA is filed under the name uncultured Plectosphaera. RNAcentral describes it as "sequence contains ITS1". Lineage: Eukaryota; Fungi; Ascomycota; Sordariomycetes; Phyllachorales; Phyllachoraceae. The record is from RNAcentral.